CGGAACGUGUCCUGAAGUGGGGGAUAACGCAUCGAAAGAUGUGCUAAUACCGCAUAUACUCUGAGGAGGAAAGUAGGGGAUCGAAAGACCUUAUGCUUUUGGAGCGGCCGAUGUCUGAUUAGCUAGUUGGUAAGGUAAUGGCUUACCAAGGCGACGAUCAGUAGUUGGUCUGAGAGGACGGCCAGCCACACUGGGACUGAGACACGGCCCAGACUCCUACGGGAGGCAGCAGUGGGGAAUUUUGGACAAUGGGCGCAAGCCUGAUCCAGCAAUGCCGCGUGAGUGAAGAAGGCCUUCGGGUUGUAAAGCUCUUUCAGUCGAGAAGAAAAGGUUGUGACUAAUAAUCAUAACUCAUGACGGUAUCGACAGAAGAAGCACCGGCUAACUACGUGCCAGCAGCCGCGGUAAUACGUAGGGUGCGAGCGUUAAUCGGAAUUACUGGGCGUAAAGGGUGCGCAGGCGGUUCUGUAAGUCAGAUGUGAAAUCCCCGGGCUUAUCCUGGGAACUGCGUUUGAAACUACAGGACUAGAGUGUGGCAGAGGGGGGUGGAAUUCCAUGUGUAGCAGUGAAAUGCGUAGAGAUAUGGAAGAACAUCGAUGGCGAAGGCAGCCCCCUGGGUUAACACUGACGCUCAUGCACGAAAGCGUGGGGAACAAACAGGAUUAGAUACCCUGGUAGUCCACGCCCUAAACUAUGUCAACUAGUUGUCGGGUCUUAUUAGACUUGGUAACGUAGCUAACGCGUGAAGUUGACCGCCUGGGGAGAACGGUCGCAAGAUUAAAACUCAAAGGAAUUGACGGGGACCCGCACAAGCGGUGGAUUAUGUGGAUUAAUUCGAUGCAACGCGAAAAACCUUACCUACCCUUGACAUGUCAGAAAGUUUUCAGAGAUGAAAUCGUGCUCGAAAGAGAAUCUGAACACAGGUGCUGCAUGGCUGUCGUCAGCUCGUGUCGUGAGAUGUUGGGUUAAGUCCCGCAACGAGCGCAACCCUUGUCAUUAAUUGCCAUCAUUCUUGGGCACUUUAACGAGACUGCCGGUGACAAACCGGAGGAGGGUGGGGAUGACGUCAAGUCCUCAUGGCCCUUAUGGGUAGGGCCUCACACGUCAUACGAUGGUCGGUACAAAGGGUCGCCAACCCGCGAGGGGGAGCCAAUCCCAGAAAGCCGAUCGUAGUCCGGAUCGUAGGCUGCAACUCGCCUGCGUGAAGUCGGAAUCGCUAGUAAUCGUGGAUCAGCAUGUCACGGUGAAUACGUUCCCGGGUCUUGUACACACCGCCCGUCACACCAUGGGAGCGGGUUCCGCCAGAAGUAGGUAGCCUAACCGCAAGGAGGGCGCUUACCACGGCGGGGUUCGUGACUGGGGUGAAGUUGUAACAAGGUA
This 1380-nucleotide ribosomal RNA is filed under the name metagenome. RNAcentral describes it as "bacterial SSU rRNA". It matches the Rfam family "Bacterial small subunit ribosomal RNA". The record is from RNAcentral.